RNAcentral lists this ribosomal RNA (1341 nucleotides) under uncultured bacterium. RNAcentral describes it as "partial 16S ribosomal RNA". It matches the Rfam family "Bacterial small subunit ribosomal RNA", at positions 28 to 1381 of the family's 1533-position model. The record is from RNAcentral.
GACGAACGCUGGCGGCGUGCUUAACACAUGCAAGUCGAACGGUAAGGCUCCAGCUUGCUGGGGUACACGAGUGGCGAACGGGUGAGUAACACGUGGGUGACCUGCCCUGCACUUCGGGAUAAGCCUGGGAAACUGGGUCUAAUACCGGAUAGGACCGCACCGUGAGGGUGUGGUGGAGAGUUUUUUCGGCGUGGGAUGGGCCCGCGGCCUAUCAGCUUGUUGGUGGGGUAAUGGCCUACCAAGGCGGCGACGGGUAGCCGGCCUGAGAGGGUGGACGGCCACAUUGGGACUGAGACACGGCCCAGACUCCUACGGGAGGCAGCAGUGGGGAAUAUUGCACAAUGGGCGGAAGCCUGAUGCAGCGACGCCGCGUGGGGGAUGACGGCCUUCGGGUUGUAAACUCCUUUCACCAUCGACGAAGGGUUUCUGACGGUAGAUGGAGAAGAAGCACCGGCUAACUACGUGCCAGCAGCCGCGGUAAUACGUAGGGUGCGAACGUUGUCCGGAAUUACUGGGCGUAAAGAGCUCGUAGGUGGUUUGUCGCGUCGUCUGUGAAAUUCCGGGGCUUAACUCCGGGCGUGCAGGCGAUACGGGCAUAACUUGAGUACUGUAGGGGAGACUGGAAUUCCUGGUGUAGCGGUGAAAUGCGCAGAUAUCAGGAGGAACACCGGUGGCGAAGGCGGGUCUCUGGGCAGUAACUGACGCUGAGGAGCGAAAGCAUGGGGAGCGAACAGGAUUAGAUACCCUGGUAGUCCAUGCCGUAAACGGUGGGCGCUAGGUGUGGGUUUCCUUCCACGGGAUCCGUGCCGUAGCUAACGCAUUAAGCGCCCCGCCUGGGGAGUACGGCCGCAAGGCUAAAACUCAAAGGAAUUGACGGGGGCCCGCACAAGCGGCGGAGCAUGUGGAUUAAUUCGAUGCAACGCGAAGAACCCUACCUGGGCUUGACAUAUACAGGAUCGCGCCAGAGAUGGUGUUUCCCUUGUGGCUUGUAUACAGGUGGCGCAUGGUUGUCGUCAGCUCGUGUCGUGAGAUGUUGGGUUAAGUCCCGCAACGAGCGCAACCCUUGUCUUAUGUUGCCAGCACGUUGUGGUGGGGACUCGUAAGAAACUGCCGGGGUUAACUCGGAGGAAGGUGGGGAUGACGUCAAAUCAUCAUGCCCCUUAUGUCCAGGGCUUCACACAUGCUACAAUGGUCGGUACAGUGGGUUGCCAGUCCGUGAGGGCGAGCUAAUCCCGCAAAGCCGGUCUCAGUUCGGAUCGGGGUCUGCAACUCGACCCCGUGAAGUCGGAGUCGCUAGUAAUCGCAGAUCAGCAACGCUGCGGUGAAUACGUUCCCGGGCCU